This 853-nucleotide long non-coding RNA is filed under the name Oncorhynchus kisutch (coho salmon). RNAcentral describes it as "lncRNA (ENSOKIG00005032223.1)". The record is from RNAcentral. Lineage: Eukaryota; Metazoa; Chordata; Actinopteri; Salmoniformes; Salmonidae.
UGCUUAGCUUUAAUAUGUCACUGACUACUACCAAUAUGCUAUUGUGAGAAUUAUUAUUGAGAGAUCUCUUACUAACAGUGUUAAUAUCGAAGUCAUUCUAAGGGGUAGGUCUGACAAAGCAAAUGAGUGAGUGAGUCUUUGACAUGAAGACAGUGGUUAGAUUCUGCCAUUGGGACUGCUCUGAUGUUGUUUCCAUUCUCUCCUGGUUAUGACCAUAGAGCCUUGUCCCAGUCUCUAGACCUGCCUGUCUGUGUGAUGGAUGACCACCUGACCUCUGAAGCUGUCAAUGAGAUGGUAAGUUGACCUUGUCAUUUCAUAGUACAACAUUAAUCCAAUAAAAUGUUAUAGUGAUGCUAUCAUUGGCAAUGUUGACGUACCACAACCAUCUCUGUUGUGUUGCAGUUGUUUAAUUGGCCCAACGUUGCCAAUGCUCCUCCACUCUUUAACAGUUAAUAAUAAUUUCAGUAUGAUAUUUGUUGUAUAUUAAGUUGUAUUAUUUGCAAUAUAAUUACAUUUCUACCAGGAGCAGAGCAAGUCUACCAGGAGUAGAGCAACCUCAGUGAUGGAAACUACAGAAGAGGGGAAGCUCAACAAUGUGGAACAUCUGACACUUAUGGACUUCCUUCAAAACCUAACUGAGAAGCAAUGGAGGGGGAUUCGUGAGGGCAUGUUUGACCCGGUAAGAUCAUGUUACUGACAAUUUAAUUAGAUUACCAUGAAAACUCUGCCUAAUGUUUAACCUUGUUCAUAAGCUUUUGAAAGACGCACUAUGCAACAUUUUAAAACACUUCUUCUGUUUCUGGAAUACAGCUGACAAAACAACAGCUUGCCGGCUUGUGUCUGAGGAUUGUCC